GUCAGCCCCAAUCUGCGAUUUGUUAAAGGACCACUCUAGGCACCCAGACCACUUCCGCUUAAUGAAAUGGUCUGGGUGCCAGGUCCAUCUAGGGUUAACCCAGCCUGCUGUAAACAUAGUUUCAGAGAAACUGCUAUGUUUACCUAUGGGUUAAUCCAGCCUCUAGUGGCUCUCUCAUUGACAGCAGCUAGAGGCGCUUCUCACUG
Pelobates cultripes (western spadefoot toad) is the source of this 206-nucleotide non-coding RNA. The record is from the annotation of a GenBank genome assembly. Lineage: Eukaryota; Metazoa; Chordata; Amphibia; Anura; Pelobatidae.